UAGAUACCCCGGUAGUCCACGCCGUAAACGAUGAGUGCUAAGUGUUAGGGGGUUUCCGCCCCUUAGUGCUGCAGCUAACGCAUUAAGCACUCCGCCUGGGGAGUACGGUCGCAAGACUGAAACUCAAAGGAAUUGACGGGGGCCCGCACAAGCGGUGGAGCAUGUGGUUUAAUUCGAAGCAACGCGAAGAACCUUACCAGGUCUUGACAUCCCAUUGACCACUAUGGAGACAUAGUUUUCCCUUCGGGGACAACGGUGACAGGUGGUGCAUGGUUGUCGUCAGCUCGUGUCGUGAGAUGUUGGGUUAAGUCCCGCAACGAGCGCAACCCUUGUUCUUAGUUGCCAUCAUUUAGUUGGGCACUCUAAGGAGACUGCCGGUGACAAACCGGAGGAAGGUGGGGAUGACGUCAAAUCAUCAUGCCCCUUAUGACCUGGGCUACACACGUGCUACAAUGGACGGUACAAACGGUUGCCAACCCGCGAGGGGAGCUAAUCCGAUAAAACCGUUCUCAGUUCGGAUUGUAGGCUGCAACUCGCCUACA
RNAcentral lists this ribosomal RNA (542 nucleotides) under uncultured bacterium. Its description in RNAcentral is "bacterial SSU rRNA". It matches the Rfam family "Bacterial small subunit ribosomal RNA", at positions 779 to 1320 of the family's 1533-position model. The record is from RNAcentral.